AUCUAUUUAAUAUAAUAAGUAUAUUUGAUUUCCAAUUAAAAAGUCUAUUACUAAUAGAAUAGAUA
RNAcentral lists this transfer RNA (65 nucleotides) under Thelaira nigripes. Its description in RNAcentral is "tRNA-Gly". RNAcentral also lists the same sequence under 1 other name. The record is from RNAcentral. Lineage: Eukaryota; Metazoa; Arthropoda; Insecta; Diptera; Tachinidae.